This 154-nucleotide ribosomal RNA is filed under the name Levilactobacillus brevis. Its description in RNAcentral is "Lactobacillus brevis partial 16S rRNA". It matches the Rfam family "Bacterial small subunit ribosomal RNA", at positions 1380 to 1533 of the family's 1533-position model. Lineage: Bacteria; Bacillati; Bacillota; Bacilli; Lactobacillales; Lactobacillaceae. The record is from RNAcentral.
CUUGUACACACCGCCCGUCACACCACGAGAGUUUGUAACACCCAAAGCCGGUGAGAUAACCUUCGGGAGUCAGCCGUCUAAGGUGGGACAGAUGAUUAGGGUGAAGUCGUAACAAGGUAGCCGUAGGAGAACCUGCGGCUGGAUCACCUCCUUU